UACAGAGGUCUCAAGCGUUGUUCGGAUUCAUUGGGCGUAAAGGGUGUGUAGGUGGCGCCGUAAGUCGGGUGUGAAAUUUCGGAGCUUAACUCCGAAACUGCAUUCGAUACUGCGGUGCUUGAGGACUGGAGAGGAGACUGGAAUUCAUGGUGUAGCAGUGAAAUGCGUAGAGAUCAUGAGGAAGACCAGUGGCGAAGGCGGGUCUCUGGACAGUUCCUGACACUGAGGCGCGAAAGCGUGGGAGCAAACAGG
This 252-nucleotide ribosomal RNA is filed under the name uncultured bacterium. RNAcentral describes it as "partial 16S ribosomal RNA". It matches the Rfam family "Bacterial small subunit ribosomal RNA", at positions 524 to 776 of the family's 1533-position model. The record is from RNAcentral.